Molecule: ribosomal RNA, 704 nt
Filed under: uncultured Arsenophonus sp.
Lineage: Bacteria; Pseudomonadati; Pseudomonadota; Gammaproteobacteria; Enterobacterales; Morganellaceae
Description: bacterial SSU rRNA
Rfam family: Bacterial small subunit ribosomal RNA
Source: RNAcentral
UUAAGGUUAAUAAGCUUAGCUAUUGACGUUAGCGACAGCAGAAGCACCGGCUAACUCCGUGUCAGCAGCCGCGGUAAUACUGGGGGUGCGAGCGUUAAUCGGAAUUACUGGGCGUAAAGGGCACGCAGGCGGUUAAUUAAGUUGGAUGUGAAAUCCCCGGGCUUAACCUGGGAAUUGCAUUCAAGACUGGUUAGCUAGAGUCUUGUAGAGGGGGGUAGAAUUCCAUGUGUAGCGGUGAAAUGCGUAGAGAUGUGGAGGAAUACCGGUGGCGAAGGCUGCCCCCUGGACAAAGACUGACGCUCAUGUGCGAAAGCUUGGGGAGCAAACAGGAUUAGAUACCCUGGUAGUCCACGCUGUAAACGAUGUCGAUUUGGAGGUUGUGGUCAAGAACUGUGGCCUCCGGAGCUAACGCGUUAAAUCGACCGCCUGGGGAGUACGGCCGCAAGGUUAAAACUCAAAUGAAUUGACGGGGGCACGCACAAGCGGUGGAGCAUGUGGUUUAAUUCGAUGCAACGCGAAGAACCUUACCUACUCUUGACAUCCAGAGAAGCUUUUAGAGAUAGAGGCGUGCCUUCGGGAACUUUGAGACAGGUGCUGCAUGGCUGUCGUCAGCUCGUGUUGUGAAAUGUUGGGUUAAGUCCCGCAACGAGCGCAACCCUUAUCCUUUGUUGCCAGCGAUACGGUCGGGAACUCAAAGGAGACUG